UUUCCGUAGGAUAACCUGCGGAAGGAUCAUUA
RNAcentral lists this ribosomal RNA (32 nucleotides) under Limnodrilus hoffmeisteri complex sp. VIII. RNAcentral describes it as "partial 18S ribosomal RNA". Lineage: Eukaryota; Metazoa; Annelida; Clitellata; Tubificida; Naididae. The record is from RNAcentral.